GAUGAACGCUAGCGGGAGGCUUAACACAUGCAAGUCGAGGGGCAGCAUAGGGUAGCAAUACUCUGAUGGCGACCGGCAAACGGGUGAGUAACGCGUAUGCAACCUACCCUGUAACAGGGGGAUAACCCGGAGAAAUUCGGACUAAUAUCCCGUAAUAAUAUCCGGAGGCAUCUUUGGAUAUUUAAAGUUCCGACGGUACGGGAUGGGCAUGCGUAACAUUAAUUGGUUGGUAAGGUAACGGCUUACCAAGGCUAUGAUGUUUAGGGGUCCUGAGAGGGUGGUCCCCCACACUGGUACUGAGACACGGACCAGACUCCUACGGGAGGCAGCAGUGAGGAAUAUUGGUCAAUGGGCGCAAGCCUGAACCAGCCAUCCCGCGUGCAGGAAGACGGCCCUAUGGGUUGUAAACUGCUUUUCCAGGGAGAGAAACUUACGCACGUGUUGCGUGACUGACGGUACCCUGGGAAUAAGCAUCGGCUAACUCCGUG
This 488-nucleotide ribosomal RNA is filed under the name uncultured bacterium. RNAcentral describes it as "bacterial SSU rRNA". It matches the Rfam family "Bacterial small subunit ribosomal RNA", at positions 28 to 507 of the family's 1533-position model. The record is from RNAcentral.